GACGAACGCUGGCGGCGUGCUUAACACAUGCAAGUCGAACGGAAAGGCCCUGCUUUUGUGGGGUGCUCGAGUGGCGAACGGGUGAGUAACACGUGAGUAACCUGCCCUUGACUUUGGGAUAACUUCAGGAAACUGGGGCUAAUACCGGAUAGGAGCUCCUGCUGCAUGGUGGGGGUUGGAAAGUUUCGGCGGUUGGGGAUGGACUCGCGGCUUAUCAGCUUGUUGGUGGGGUAGUGGCUUACCAAGGCUUUGACGGGUAGCCGGCCUGAGAGGGUGACCGGCCACAAUGGGACUGAGGAUCGGGCCAGACUCCUACGGGAGGCAGCAGUGGGGAAUAUUGCACAAUGGGCGGAAGCCUGAUGCAGCAACGCCGCGUGCGGGAUGACGGCCUUCGGGUUGUAAACCGCUUUCGCCUGUGACGAAGCGUGAGUGACGGUAAUGGGUAAAGAAGCACCGGCUAACUACGUG
This 468-nucleotide ribosomal RNA is filed under the name uncultured bacterium. RNAcentral's name for it is "partial 16S ribosomal RNA". It matches the Rfam family "Bacterial small subunit ribosomal RNA", at positions 28 to 507 of the family's 1533-position model. The record is from RNAcentral.